GGGAGGCGGCGUUGGGCAGCAGAUAGGGUCACAGGGAGAGGAAGGGGGAACGGGUGAGAGUUAGCAGGAUGUUUUUGGCCGGUAGGGAGGAGGUUAACGGCCCAUUUCGGACCGGCACAUUAAAAUCAUGCCGGGCUGGGUCGCCCGUCAGGCCGAGGGGCAGGCCCACACCAGCACGAGCCAUCAGGCCAGGCUAGCCUCGAGCCGAAGAGUUACGAGCCGGGCCAGGAUAAAAAAUUGGGCUUCGUGUUGGGCUGCGGGCUGCAUGGACAUCUAUAGUAAAACUCCUAGAAUAUAUAUGAGAAGAAUGCACAGAUUGGCAGGUUCCACUGCAACUAACAUAUUCCCUCCAUCCUAUUAAUAAUAAUCUGAUCAUUUUUGGGGUGUUUGGAUACCCCUGCUAAACUUUAGCACCUGUCACAUCGGAUGUUU
RNAcentral lists this long non-coding RNA (432 nucleotides) under Setaria viridis. RNAcentral describes it as "long non-coding RNA (SVIR_LNC011382)". Lineage: Eukaryota; Viridiplantae; Streptophyta; Magnoliopsida; Poales; Poaceae. The record is from RNAcentral.